This 471-nucleotide ribosomal RNA is filed under the name Bacillus sp. (in: firmicutes). Its description in RNAcentral is "bacterial SSU rRNA". It matches the Rfam family "Bacterial small subunit ribosomal RNA", at positions 334 to 797 of the family's 1533-position model. The record is from RNAcentral. Lineage: Bacteria; Bacillati; Bacillota; Bacilli; Caryophanales; Bacillaceae.
UACUCCUACGGGAGGCAGCAGUAGGGAAUCUUCCGCAAUGGGACGAAAGUCUGACGGAGCAACGCCGCGUGAGUGAUGAAGGUUUUCGGAUCGUAAAGCUCUGUUGUUAGGGAAGAACAAGUGCGAGAGUAACUGCUCGCACCUUGACGGUACCUAACCAGAAAGCCACGGCUAACUACGUGCCAGCAGCCGCGGUAAUACGUAGGUGGCAAGCGUUGUCCGGAAUUAUUGGGCGUAAAGGGCUCGCAGGCGGUUUCUUAAGUCUGAUGUGAAAGCCCCCGGCUCAACCGGGGAGGGUCAUUGGAAACUGGGAAACUUGAGUGCAGAAGAGGAGAGUGGAAUUCCACGUGUAGCGGUGAAAUGCGUAGAGAUGUGGAGGAACACCAGUGGCGAAGGCGACUCUCUGGUCUGUAACUGACGCUGAGGAGCGAAAGCGUGGGGAGCGAACAGGAUAGAUACCCUGGUAGUCCA